GUGCCCGUAGCUCAACUGGAUAGAGCGUUAGCCUCCGGAGCUGAAGGUUACAGGUUCAACUCCUGUCGGGCAUA
RNAcentral lists this transfer RNA (74 nucleotides) under Gemmata massiliana. It matches the Rfam family "tRNA". Rfam says of the family: Transfer RNA (tRNA) molecules are approximately 80 nucleotides in length. The record is from RNAcentral. Lineage: Bacteria; Pseudomonadati; Planctomycetota; Planctomycetia; Gemmatales; Gemmataceae.